This 252-nucleotide ribosomal RNA is filed under the name uncultured bacterium. RNAcentral describes it as "partial 16S ribosomal RNA". It matches the Rfam family "Bacterial small subunit ribosomal RNA", at positions 524 to 776 of the family's 1533-position model. The record is from RNAcentral.
CACGUAGGGCGCAAGCGUUGUCCGGAAUUAUUGGGCGUAAAGAGCUCGUAGGCGGCUUGUCACGUCGGGUGUGAAAGCCCGGGGCUUAACCCCGGGUCUGCAUUCGAUACGGGCUGGCUAGAGUGUGGUAGGGGAGAUCGGAAUUCCUGGUGUAGCGGUGAAAUGCGCAGAUAUCAGGAGGAACACCGGUGGCGAAGGCGGAUCUCUGGGCCAUUACUACGCUGAGGAGCGAAAGCGUGGGGAGCGAACAGG